GGGUGAGUAAUAUAUCGAUAACCUACCCUCGAGACGGGGACAACAGCUCGAAAGGGCUGCUAAUACCCGAUGGUUCUGGGUUGAAGCAUUCUUCCUAGCUAAACGGUUGGCUCUUCGGAGCCUUCUGCUCGAGGAGGGGUCGAUAUCCUAUCAGCUAGUUGGCGGGAUAAUAGCCCACCAAGGCUUUGACGGGUAGCCGGACUGAGAGGUCGACCGGUCACACUGGCACUGAGACACUGGCCAGACUCCUACGGGAGGCUGCAGUCGAGAAUCUUCCGCAAUGGGCGAAAGCCUGACGGAGCGACGCCGCGUGCAGGAUGAAGGCCCUCGGGUUGUAAACUGCUGUCAAAUGUUAGGAAUUGUUAGUCGCGGAUAACGGCUAACUUGACAAAGGCAUGAGAGGAAGUCCCGGCUAACUUCGUGCCAGCAGCCGCGGCAAGACGAAGGUGGCAAGCGUUGCUCGGAAUCACUGGGCAUAAAGCGCGCGUAGGUGGCUUGAUAAGUCGAUGGUGAAAUCCCAUGGCUCAACCAUGGAACUGCCACCGAUACUGUUGGGCUUGAGGACGGUAGGGGAGAGUGGAACUCCUGGUGUAGCGGUGAAAUGCGUAGAUAUCAGGAGGAACGCCGGUGGCAAAGCGACUCUCUGGGCCGCUCCUGACACUGAUGCGCGAAAGCUAGGGGAGCAAACAGGAUUAGAUACCCUGGUAGUCCUAGCUGUAAACGAUGGGCACUAGGUAGAGGUGGUUUCGAAACCUCCUCUGCCGGAGCUAAUGUAUUAAGUGCCCCGCCUGGGGAGUAUGGUCGCAAGGCUAAAACUCAAAGGAAUUGACGGGGGCUCACACAAGCGGUGGAGCAUGUGGUUUAAUUCGAAGCAACGCGAAGAACCUUACCCGGGUUUGAAAUGCUAGGAUUAGCCUUCCGAAAGGGAGGUGACGCCCUUGUGGUGGAACUAGCACAGGUGUUGCAUGGCUGUCGUCAGCUCGUGUCGUGAGAUGUCGGGUUAAGUCCCUUAACGAGCGAAACCCUUGUCCUUAGUUGCCAGCACUUCGGGUGGGUACUCUAGGGAGACUGCCGUUGUUAAAACGGAGGAAGGUGGGGACGACGUCAAGUCAUCAUGGCCUUUAUGUCCGGGGCUACACACGUGCCACAAUGGCCGGUACAAAGGGAUGCAAAGCCGUGAGGUAGAGCAAAACCCAGAAAGCCGGUCCCAGUUCGGAUUGGAGGCUGCAAUUCGCCUCCAUGAAGUCGGAAUCGCUAGUAAUCGCGGAUCAGCUACGCCGCGGUGAAUAUGUUCCUGAGCCUUGUACACACCGCCCGUCAAGCCACGAAAGCUGGUAGUACCUGAAGUCGUGUACCCAACCCGCAAGGGAGGGAAGCGCCCACGGUAAAACCGGUGAUUGGGACUAAGUCGUAACAAGGUA
This 1421-nucleotide ribosomal RNA is filed under the name metagenome. Its description in RNAcentral is "bacterial SSU rRNA". It matches the Rfam family "Bacterial small subunit ribosomal RNA". The record is from RNAcentral.